RNAcentral lists this ribosomal RNA (494 nucleotides) under uncultured bacterium. RNAcentral describes it as "partial 16S ribosomal RNA". It matches the Rfam family "Bacterial small subunit ribosomal RNA", at positions 28 to 504 of the family's 1533-position model. The record is from RNAcentral.
GAUGAACGCUGGCGGCGUGCCUAAUACAUGCAAGUCGAGCGAACAGACGAGGAGCUUGCUCCUCUGACGUUAGCGGCGGACGGGUGAGUAACACGUGGAUAACCUACCUAUAAGACUGGGAUAACUUCGGGAAACCGGAGCUAAUACCGGAUAAUAUAUUGAACCGCAUGGUUCAAUAGUGAAAGACGGUUUUGCUGUCACUUAUAGAUGGAUCCGCGCCGCAUUAGCUAGUUGGUAAGGUAACGGCUUACCAAGGCAACGAUGCGUAGCCGACCUGAGAGGGUGAUCGGCCACACUGGAACUGAGACACGGUCCAGACUCAUACGGGAGGCAGCAGUAGGGAAUCUUCCGCAAUGGGCGAAAGCCUGACGGAGCAACGCCGCGUGAGUGAUGAAGGUCUUCGGAUCGUAAAACUCUGUUAUUAGGGAAGAACAAAUGUGUAAGUAACUAUGCACGUCUUGACGGUACCUAAUCAGAAAGCCACGGCUAACUAC